UACGUAGGGUGCAGGCGUUAAUCGGAAUUACUGGGCGUAAAGCGCGCGCAGGCGGUUUGCUAAGUCAGGUGUGAAAUCCCCGGGCUUAACCUGGGAACUGCGCUUGUUACUGGCAGGCUUGAGUGUGGCAGAGGGGGGUGGAAUUCCACGUGUAGCAGUGAAAUGCGUAGAGAUGUGGAGGAACACCGAUGGCGAAGGCAGCCCCCUGGGCUAACACUGACGCUCAUGCACGAAAGCGUGGGGAGCAAACAGG
This 253-nucleotide ribosomal RNA is filed under the name uncultured bacterium. RNAcentral describes it as "partial 16S ribosomal RNA". It matches the Rfam family "Bacterial small subunit ribosomal RNA", at positions 524 to 776 of the family's 1533-position model. The record is from RNAcentral.